This 66-nucleotide transfer RNA is filed under the name human gut metagenome. It matches the Rfam family "tRNA", at positions 5 to 66 of the family's 71-position model. Rfam says of the family: Transfer RNA (tRNA) molecules are approximately 80 nucleotides in length. Their secondary structure includes four short double-helical elements and three loops (D, anti-codon, and T loops). Further hydrogen bonds mediate the characteristic L-shaped molecular structure. tRNAs have two regions of fundamental functional importance: the anti-codon, which is responsible for specific mRNA codon recognition, and the 3' end, to which the tRNAs corresponding amino acid is attached (by aminoacyl-tRNA synthetases). tRNAs cope with the degeneracy of the genetic code in two manners: having more than one tRNA (with a specific anti-codon) for a particular amino acid; and 'wobble' base-pairing, i.e. permitting non-standard base-pairing at the 3rd anti-codon position. The record is from RNAcentral.
CUAUAGCUCAGCUGGAUAGAGCAGCGGACUUCUAAUCCGAAGGUCGUAGGUUCGAAUCCUACUAGG